Molecule: long non-coding RNA, 1272 nt
Organism: Cyprinus carpio carpio
Lineage: Eukaryota; Metazoa; Chordata; Actinopteri; Cypriniformes; Cyprinidae
Source: Ensembl
UUUGGCGGAGACAUACCUGACAAUAAAUCUAUCGCACAGUCAUAAGGAUGAUGCGGAGGAAGAGAAGCAGCCUGGGACUUACUGAACACUCCCUUCAGGUCAAGAUACUCAAUGGGCACGUUAGACAGAUCUAUAUGUCCAUCCUGUAACACAGAACAAGACACAGAAGAACAAGCAGACAACAAACAUGAAACAUGACAAAACUCACUCCAGGAAGAAACGGUGUUUUGGCGCCAGUUUAUGUUGGGAUUGUGGCAUGAGAGCUGGGGGGACCCAAGACCACAGGAACCAAAGGGGAAUCAGUAAAAAAAAAAAAAGAAAUGGUCUCGGUGUGGUUGCCUGAAAUGAUGAGAAUCACCGACUCAAUGGCAUGGGUGUCGGGUGGGAGAGACUGACCACAGAGAGUGCUGAUAGAGAUGGGCGGGUUGAGUGGAACAACAGGAAUUCCUAGCUUAAGCUCUGUCUUGUAAUCCAAGAAAUUACCCUCUGCGCCAGAGUCUACCAGGGCUUUACACGUGAAUGUGACCCAACCCAUCAGUAGUUGAACAGGGAGAAGAGUUACAGUAGAAGAGGAUUUCUCAACAGUGACUCCACCUGUCAGUAGCCUCCUACCUACUGACAGGCUUUUUUACUGGGCACUGUGCUGCAAUGUGACCUGCAGUACCACAGUAUAGACACAGCCCCUGGCGUCUCUCCUUCUCCUCCCGUGAAAGGUGAGCUCUGCCCACCUGCAUGGGCUCAGGAUCGAGGAGAUGACCAGCUGUAUUCUUCGCCAAACCUUCUCAAUCCGUCUAGUAAGGCAGUGUUUGAACACACAACACAAUGCCGUCCAGUGCCAUGCACAAGAGGGGUCUGAGGACUCUGAAGAGUCCUUUCUUGAAGAGACCUCUUCUGAAGAUACCUCUUCGUUCAGCCUAAGCAACCCCAAUACAGAUUCGCUGCAUAAGGGGAAUACUUACUGCAACGACCCCCCGUACACCAGGCCCCCUUUUCUCCUCUGCCCUUCCAAGGGUUUAAGUUCCCUCAAAUAGAUGUUGUAAUGGCACUCUGCUGUAAGAUAUCAGAGAAUAGUCAGAUUGAAGUGGCUGUAAAAAAAUCUAAAAGAGGAGCUGCUGCUGCUGGGGGAGGGGCUUUUUAGGGGUCUACUUGGAGGUCCACCCUGUAUAUUUAUUGGUAUGUACACUUAUGUUUUAUUUAUUUUCACUUACAAACUUUGAACCACUUCACAUCUUAACCACAGAGUGGUGCUAUAAUGUCAUCAAAAUAAAUAAA